Molecule: ribosomal RNA, 512 nt
Filed under: Caltoris malaya
Lineage: Eukaryota; Metazoa; Arthropoda; Insecta; Lepidoptera; Hesperiidae
Description: partial 16S ribosomal RNA
Rfam family: Bacterial large subunit ribosomal RNA (bases 387-512)
Source: RNAcentral
GUCUUUUUGAAAAUAAUUUAAAGUCAAAUCUGCCCACUGAUUAAUAAUUAAAGGGCUGCAGUAUAUUGACUGUACAAAGGUAGCAUAAUAAUUAGUCUUUUAAUUGAAGACUUGUAUGAAAGAUUUGAUGAGAUAUAAGCUGUCUCUUUUUUAUAAUUAGAAUUUAAUUUUUUAGUAAAAAAGCUAAAAUUAUUUUAAAAGACGAGAAGACCCUAUAGAGUUUUAUAAUUAAAUUAAUUAUAUUAUUUAUGUUUAAGUUUAAAAUUAAUUGAUUUAAUUAUUUUAUUGGGGUGAUAGAAAAAUUAAAAUAACUUUUUUUUAAUUUAAACAUUAAUUAAUGAUUAUAUGAUCCAUAAUUUAUGAUUAUAAGAAAAAAUUACCUUAGGGAUAACAGCGUAAUUUUUUUUUUAGUUCUUAUAAGAAAAAAAGUUUGCGACCUCGAUGUUGGAUUAAGAUAAAAUUUAAAUGUAGAAGUUUAAAAUUUUGAUCUGUUCGAUCAUUAAAAUCUUACA